This 408-nucleotide ribosomal RNA is filed under the name uncultured bacterium. Its description in RNAcentral is "bacterial SSU rRNA". It matches the Rfam family "Bacterial small subunit ribosomal RNA", at positions 354 to 775 of the family's 1533-position model. The record is from RNAcentral.
AUUAGGAAUCUUGCGCAAUGGGGGAAACCCUGACGCAGCGACGCCGCGUGGAGGAGGAAGUCCUUCGGGAUGUAAACUCCUUUUAGGUGGGAAGAAACAAAUGACGGUACCACCUGAAUAAGCCCCGGCUAACUACGUGCCAGCAGCCGCGGUAAUACGUAGGGGGCGAGCGUUGUCCGAAGUUACUGGGCGUAAAGCGCGCGUAGGCGGGUUGUUAAGUGAGAAGUGAAAGGCUGAGGCUCAACCUCAUGCAGUGCUUCUCAUACUGGCAGUCUUGAGGGAGGCAGAGAGAAGUGGAAUGGCUGGUGUAGCGGUGAAAUGCGUAGAUAUCAGUCGGAACACCCGUGGCGAAGGCGGCUUCUUGGGCCUUUCCUGACGCUGAGGCGCGAAAGCCAGGGGAGCGAACGG